Trichoderma reesei QM6a is the source of this 72-nucleotide transfer RNA. It matches the Rfam family "tRNA". Rfam says of the family: Transfer RNA (tRNA) molecules are approximately 80 nucleotides in length. Their secondary structure includes four short double-helical elements and three loops (D, anti-codon, and T loops). The record is from Rfam. Lineage: Eukaryota; Fungi; Ascomycota; Sordariomycetes; Hypocreales; Hypocreaceae.
GCCCUUAUGGCUCAGGGGUAGAGCGUCGCACUCGUAAUGCGAAGGUCCAUAGUUCAAAUCUGUGUGAGGGCA